This 18-nucleotide ribosomal RNA is filed under the name Nesobasis sp. 6 JHS-2009. Its description in RNAcentral is "partial 18S ribosomal RNA". Lineage: Eukaryota; Metazoa; Arthropoda; Insecta; Odonata; Coenagrionidae. The record is from RNAcentral.
GUGACUGCGGAGGUCAUU